AUGCCGCGUGUGUGAAGAANNNNNUUUUGGUUGUAAAGCACUUUAAGCAGUGAAGAAGACUCCGUGGUUAAUACCCACGGACGAUGACAUUAGCUGCAGAAUAAGCACCGGCUAACUCUGUGCCAGCAGCCGCGGUAAUACAGAGGGUGCAAGCGUUAAUCGGAAUUACUGGGCGUAAAGGGAGCGUAGGUGGCUCUAUAAGUCAGAUGUGAAAUCCCCGGGCUCAACCUGGGAACUGCAUCUGAAACUGUAGAGCUAGAGUAUGUGAGAGGAAGGUAGAAUUCCAGGUGUAGCGGUGAAAUGCGUAGAGAUCUGGAGGAAUACCGAUGGCGAAGGCAGCCUUCUGGCAUAAUACUGACACUGAGGCUCGAAAGCGUGGGUAGCAAACAGGAUUAGAUACCCUGGUAGUCCACUGCUGCCUCCCG
Molecule: ribosomal RNA, 425 nt
Filed under: Psychrobacter sp. Asnod2H03
Lineage: Bacteria; Pseudomonadati; Pseudomonadota; Gammaproteobacteria; Moraxellales; Moraxellaceae
Description: bacterial SSU rRNA
Rfam family: Bacterial small subunit ribosomal RNA
Source: RNAcentral